RNAcentral lists this ribosomal RNA (791 nucleotides) under uncultured bacterium. RNAcentral describes it as "bacterial SSU rRNA". It matches the Rfam family "Bacterial small subunit ribosomal RNA", at positions 108 to 901 of the family's 1533-position model. The record is from RNAcentral.
CUAUAACUCAUCUUUUACCUGCCCUUCGGUCGGGGACAACACUUCCAACGAGGUGCUAAUACCCGAUGACACAACCGGAUCACCUGGUCCGGCUGUCAAAGCUCCGGCGCCGGAGGAUGGGCAUGCGUCUGAUUAGGUAGUUGGCGGGGUAACGGCCCACCAAGCCAACGAUCAGUAGCUGGUCUGAGAGGAUGAUCAGCCACACUGGAACUGAGACACGGUCCAGACUCCUACGGGAGGCAGCAGUGAGGAAUAUUGCUCAAUGGGCGAAAGCCUGAAGCAGCAACGCCGCGUGCGGGAUGAAGGCCUUUUCGGUCGUAAACCGCUGUAGAAGGGAAAAAAUAUGGCGCCAUGGGCGCCAUUGAUGGUACCCUUAAAGUAAGCCUCGGCUAACUACGUGCCAGCAGCCGCGGUAAUACGUAGGAGGCAAGCGUUGUCCGGAUUCACUGGGUGUAAAGGGUCCGCAGGCGGGUAAUCAAGUCGAUGGUGAAAUCCUUCCGCUCAACGGAAGAACUGCCGUCGAUACUGUUUAUCUUGAGUACAGAAGAGGGUGAUGGAAUUCCAGGUGUAGCGGUGAAAUGCGUAGAUAUCCGGAAGAACACCGGUUGCGAAGGCUGUUGCCUGGUCUGUUACUGACGCUCAUGGACGAAAGCGUGGGGAUCAAACAGGAUUAGAUACCCUGGUAGUCCACGCCGUAAACGAUGGAUACUCGAUGUCGGCCCGUAUGGGUCGGUGUCUAAGUUAACGCAGUAAGUAUCCCACCUGGGAAGUACGAUCGCAAGGUUGAAACU